Molecule: small nuclear RNA, 162 nt
Filed under: Rhinolophus ferrumequinum (greater horseshoe bat)
Lineage: Eukaryota; Metazoa; Chordata; Mammalia; Chiroptera; Rhinolophidae
Description: U2 spliceosomal RNA (ENSRFEG00010006404.1)
Rfam family: U2 spliceosomal RNA
About the family: U2 is a small nuclear RNA (snRNA) component of the spliceosome (involved in pre-mRNA splicing). Complementary binding between U2 snRNA (in an area lying towards the 5' end but 3' to hairpin I) and the branchpoint sequence (BPS) of the intron results the bulging out of an unpaired adenosine, on the BPS, which initiates a nucleophilic attack at the intronic 5' splice site, thus starting the first of two transesterification reactions that mediate splicing.
Source: Rfam by way of RNAcentral
AUCGCUUCUCGGCCUUUUGGCUAAGAUCAAGUGUAGAAGUGUUCUACCUCAUUGAGUUAAAUAUUGUCCCUUAGUCCACAAAAAUGCAUUUUUAGUAAAUAAAAGUAAGUUUUUAUCACGAUAAAAAUCACUAAGUUCUUGUUACUGCAAAGAAUAACCGAA